Acanthopagrus latus (yellowfin seabream) is the source of this 301-nucleotide long non-coding RNA. RefSeq lists it as uncharacterized. The record is from RefSeq and is a predicted model, not a curated record. The transcript is spliced from 2 exons. Lineage: Eukaryota; Metazoa; Chordata; Actinopteri; Spariformes; Sparidae.
GCCAUGUACUGCUACCACGAUCAGUUUCAUUUUCCGAUCACACUGCUGCUCUUUAUAGAUGAGGAGAAGAAUCACCACCAGUCGGCGGUUGCUGGAAAGGAAUAAUUUGAAUGUUUUAUGGGAUGAGUAGUCCUUUACUCUUCAAAUAAUGAAAGAAUGGAAGAAUUCACUUCUGGAAACUGGAGCUGUUCAACAAGUGAGCGGUCACGUUGACCUCUACCAGGGCCAAGAAGACAGAAGACAGACUUGCCCGAAAUGUGAUAAAGAAUUCAUCGCAAGUAAAAAUGUCACUCCAUGUUUA